CUUUCCGAUUUGCUUAUAUUUUUCUAGUUUAUAGCUGUAAAGUUGAAAGUGACCCCUAGUUUAUAUUUUCCCAAAAAUCAUCUCUCUCUAUCUCGUUAAAGAGAAAGCCCUCCCCUUUCUUACUUUCCCCGUCCUCUUUCCGCUGUUGCCACCACCGAUCGCCACAAGUUCAUCGCCGGUCCUUCACUGUAAUUGUGCCUUAUUUUUCCGGCGAGGAUUUCCGGCAAGCUACAGUACUUCCGGCGACUCCCGUUCAG
RNAcentral lists this long non-coding RNA (257 nucleotides) under Nicotiana benthamiana. RNAcentral describes it as "long non-coding RNA (NBEN_LNC040435)". The record is from RNAcentral. Lineage: Eukaryota; Viridiplantae; Streptophyta; Magnoliopsida; Solanales; Solanaceae.